Molecule: long non-coding RNA, 2772 nt
Filed under: Salmo salar (Atlantic salmon)
Lineage: Eukaryota; Metazoa; Chordata; Actinopteri; Salmoniformes; Salmonidae
Description: lncRNA (ENSSSAG00000111238.1)
Source: RNAcentral
CGGGCCACAGGAUUCCACUGGCUGUUAUGUAGGUGGGACGAUUUCGUCCCACUGGCCCUAGAGAAGUUAAUUCAUUGAGCUGUAUCUAAAGAUAUUUUCUUUACAGUUAUUUACGUAUGUAAUUGUAUUAGAAUUUGUGUGUUGGAGAUUGAGAGAACUACAUAGAUAUUUUUGUUGUAUUGGUUAGUAUUGGAUUACGCAUUUGACAUCAAGUUCCAGAAUGCCUUGCGACAGGUAGUAGAGAGAACGUGCCAGUUAUGUACAAGUGACAAGUGAUUAUCCUGACUUUCGCUAGCAACUUUCUUUUAUUGUUUUGUAGAAUCUAAAGUUGUUAAAUGUAACGUGAACAAGUAGUAUUACUAAAAGAAGCUUUCAUUUCAAACCCGACGUCCCGAGUCAUUACUUGAAGAUAGUUAUUCUAUACUUUGUUUUCAUAUCAGUGUCUUUGGUAUGCUCGAAAUCUUCUUCAGCCGGUCACUCUGUGGCUUGUUUGACAAUUUGACAAAUGUUUAACUCCGAACCACAUAGAAAGAUUAUUCCAGAGUUUUAUCCAUUUUAUUUUUCUCCCAAACUCAAUGUCCAGCGUACGUUCCAUUGUACUUCUACACACUACAGCUAUCGGCUGUUGGGCCGGCAUGUCCCUACUGCCCUAAAGGAAAGAAAGACCACACCUGAAUUAUUGCAUUAUUCAGUUCUGUGUGUACUCGAGGAGUGCCUUUCAAAAUGUACCAGUGCCACAAAUAACAAAAAUAUAUACACUACCAGUCAAAAGUUUUAGAACACCUACUCAUUCAUGGGUUUUUCUAUAUUUGUACUAUUUUCAACAUUGUAUAAUAGUAGUGAAGACAUCAAAACUAUGAAAUAACACAUAUGGAAUCAUGUAGUAACCAAAAAAGUGUUAAACAAAUUAAAAUAUAUUAUAUAUACUCCCUUUGCCUUGAUGACAGUUUUGCACACUCUUGGCAUUCUCUCAAACAACUUCACCUGGAAUGCUUUUCCAACAGCCUUGAAGCAGUUCCCACAUAUGCUGAGCACUUGUAGGCUGCUUUUGCCUAUGCCAUGGUAGUCACUGCUAGACUGGUAGCUAGCUAUCAGCGUAAAUGUCACUGGUGUAGAGAGGAGUAGGCAGGAGGCAGUCGCAGGUUAACCUGUUGGGGCUAGGGGGCAGUAUUGAGAAUUUUGAAAAAAAUAUGUGCCCAUUUUUAACUGCCUCCUACACCAUCUCAGAAGCUAGGAUAUGCAUAUUAUUAACAGAUUUGGAUAGAAAACACUCAGAAUUUUCUAAAACUGUUUGAAUGGUGUCUGUAAGUAUAACAGAACUCAUAUGGCAGUCAAAAGCCUGAGACAAUUUCUAACAGGAAGUGUGUAUCUGAUGUGUUGAAUUACUUUUAAGCCUAUGCCAUUGAAACAUACAGGGACUUAUUAAUCAUUGAGCACUUCCUACGCCAUCCACUAGAUGUCACCAGUCUUUACAAAGUGGUUUGAGUCUUCUACUGUGAAAACUGACCGAAUAAGAGACUUGGAACGUUGGACAUAAGUGGAUGGCCGAUACUACUCUGGCGCACGAGUGCAUGUUUGGGUACUCUCGUUCCAAUACGUUUUAAAAGAGAAUGCAAUCGUCCGCCUUGAAUAUUAUUGAAGUUCUGAUUGAAAAAUGCCCUAAUGAUUUAUGCUAUACAACGUUUGACAUGUUUGAACGAACGUAAAUAUUUUUUUCCCCCUCUUUGGUGAAGACAAGUCCGGCUGGCGUUGUUCAUGUUUUUGAGCAGCCUACAGGACGCGCUAACAACACGGAGCUUUUUGGACAUAAAUUAUGAGCUUUUUCGAACAAAACUACAUUUGUUAUGGACCUGGGAUACCUGGAAGUGCCUUCUGAUGAAGAUAAUCAAAGGACCUGCUCCCUAGGACCAUGUCUCAGGACUACUUGGCCUGAUGACUCCUUGCUGUCCCCAGUCCACCUGACCGUGCUGUUGCUCCAGUUCUGUUCUUCCUGUGGCUAUGGAACCCUGACCUGUUCACCGGAUGUGCUACCUGUACCAGACCUGCUGUUUUCAACUCUCUAGAGACAGCAGGAGCGAUAGAGAUACUCUGAAUGAUUGGCUAUGAAAAGCCAACUGACAUUUACUCCUGAGGUGCUGACCUGUUGCACCCUCGACAACCACUGUGAUUAUUAUUAUUUGACCCUGCUGGUCAUCUAUGAACAUUUGAACAUCUUGGCCAUGUUCUGUUAUAAUUUCCACUCGGCACAGCCAGAAGAGAACUGGCCACCCCUCAUAGCCUGGUUCCUCUCUAGGUUUCUUCCUAGGUUCUGGCCUUUCUAGGGAGCUUUUCCUAGCCACCGUGCUUCUACACCUGCAUUGCUUGCUGUUUGGGGUUUUAGGCUGGGUUUCUGUAUAGCACUUUGUGACAUCAGCUGAUGUAAAAGGGGCUUUAUAUAUAAAUGUGAUUGAUUGUAGCACAGAGAAUUUUCGACCAACCUUAGUUUGGCGAUACUGUCUUCGUCCUCGAUUCAGGAGUCUCAUGAAAUGUUUAUGUCCAGUUACAGGGGGCCCGUUUGAAUUUCGAAAACGCUCAGUUAUUAAAAGAAAAUACUUUUUUGCUCAACCGUGAAUUAAUCCGAAAAUGUGUACGCCGCCAUCUUGUCUAUUUCAACUCUUCUCUCAUUGAUCGAGAUAUGUGGGUGUCCACCACAAAGGGCCGGUGGCAGCGUACACAUUGUUGGAUUACUUCAUGAAGCAAAUAUUUUUAUUUUUAACUGAUCCCCUGCAACUG